AUGCGGAGGGUGCAAGCGUUACUCGGAAUCACUGGGCGUAAAGCGCGCGCAGGCGGCCUGAUAAGUUGGAUGUGAAAGCCUACGGCUCAACCGUAGAACUGCAUCCAAAACUGUCAGGCUAGAGUGUGGGAGAGGAAGAUGGAAUUAGUUGUGUAGGGGUAAAAUCCGUAGAGAUAACUAGGAAUACCGAAAGCGAAGGCGAUCUUCUGGAACAGUACUGACGCUGAGGCGCGAAAGCGUGGGGAGCAAACAGGAUUAGAAACCCCGGUAGUCC
This 274-nucleotide ribosomal RNA is filed under the name uncultured bacterium. RNAcentral's name for it is "partial 16S ribosomal RNA". It matches the Rfam family "Bacterial small subunit ribosomal RNA", at positions 523 to 796 of the family's 1533-position model. The record is from RNAcentral.